This 406-nucleotide ribosomal RNA is filed under the name Rhizobium leguminosarum. RNAcentral's name for it is "bacterial SSU rRNA". It matches the Rfam family "Bacterial small subunit ribosomal RNA", at positions 19 to 455 of the family's 1533-position model. The record is from RNAcentral. Lineage: Bacteria; Pseudomonadati; Pseudomonadota; Alphaproteobacteria; Hyphomicrobiales; Rhizobiaceae.
CUGGCUCAGAACGAACGCUGGCGGCAGGCUUAACACAUGCAAGUCGAGCGCCCCGCAAGGGGAGCGGCAGACGGGUGAGUAACGCGUGGGAAUCUACCCUUGACUACGGAAUAACGCAGGGAAACUUGUGCUAAUACCGUAUGUGUCCUUCGGGAGAAAGAUUUAUCGGUCAAGGAUGAGCCCGCGUUGGAUUAGCUAGUUGGUGGGGUAAAGGCCUACCAAGGCGACGAUCCAUAGCUGGUCUGAGAGGAUGAUCAGCCACAUUGGGACUGAGACACGGCCCAAACUCCUACGGGAGGCAGCAGUGGGGAAUAUUGGACAAUGGGCGCAAGCCUGAUCCAGCCAUGCCGCGUGAGUGAUGAAGGCCCUAGGGUUGUAAAGCUCUUUCACCGGAGAAGAUAAUGAC